ACCCGGUAAGUGGAGUUUUCCUGC
RNAcentral lists this non-coding RNA (24 nucleotides) under Arabidopsis thaliana (thale cress). Lineage: Eukaryota; Viridiplantae; Streptophyta; Magnoliopsida; Brassicales; Brassicaceae. The record is from RNAcentral.